CUGUCCCUAUCUCUUUUCUCUCUUGUUCUCGCCAAAAACAGCACCUCUCUCUCUCUCUCUCUCCCUCUCACAGGUGAGUCCUCUCAUUUCAUUUCUCUCCUUGUUAUGUUGGGUUGACAUAACAUAAUGCGGUUAAUGGUUUGAGAUUUUUUUUUAAUUAGAUGCCAAGAAAUAAGAGAAAUCCCAGGCGAAGAAAGAAAAUGAGUCUGAAAGACUUUAUAGUUGCUGAUCUACGCACAAAGUUGAUCACAUGUUGGAAUUGGGGGAUUAGGAAAAAGACAUGGCUAAAACUUCGACAUCUAAGCGAACGCAAAUUACAGAGGCCAAGUCUGCUUUCUCCCGAAGGUCCAAGACACUAAAAGAGUCUAAUAUGCUUUUCAAAUCAUCUCAGCUGUUGAUGGAGCGGGAGGUGAAAUUCUCCUCAAUUGAUGAUAACUCUUUGAAUUAUUAAACAGAGUUGGGGAAUCACUACAAAAAAGAUUGCUAUUUGCGACGAAACUUUUUCGACGAUUACAAAAAACCAUCGUAAAAACUAGCUUUUUGGACGGCAAGUCUCUUCCAUCGACAAUGACUUGUCAAAUAUCAACACAUUUUGUGACGGCAAAAUGAGUCUGUCAAAAAUGCUUAUUAUUUUUGUCGAAAAUGUGAUUUUUUUUUUAGGGAAAUGUUCCCGCCUUACUUUUUACGACGGCAUAAAAAUGUUCGUCGCUAGUAAGGUAUUAUUUAUGACAACUAAAGAAAAACCGUCGAAACUAUUAACACUUGUGAUGGCUUUGGUACAUCGAAAAUACAAAAUAUAUAUUUUUUAUGGUAUUA
Molecule: long non-coding RNA, 816 nt
Organism: Quercus lobata
Lineage: Eukaryota; Viridiplantae; Streptophyta; Magnoliopsida; Fagales; Fagaceae
Exons: 2
Source: RefSeq, a predicted model, not a curated record